GCCCGAGUAACCCGCUGGUUUUUAGAGUUGCAGCCUUACCGGUUCAAGGUGGAGCAUCGCGCUGGGAAGCUGCACCAGAAUGCUGAUGCGCUAUCCAGGAGGGAGGAUGGCCUAGGGGCAGACGCUCCCGCCCGGGGCUUGGAGCUGAGGGGGGGGGUAUGUGGCACCCCUGCUCCUGAAUGUUGUGCCACGUGGGUGGAGAACCCUGGAGGGGCCCGUGCCGGUCAACCGCGCAGACGUCACGCAUUGGGAGAGGUGUGCGAAGGGGUAUAUCUGCCUAGAGAUGUGAUGGGGAGAUCAGCACCUUGGAGAGAGAUCCCUCUACCUGCGGUCCAGGACCCCGGCCAGCGCACCCCUGACGCGGCCGAAGAGGAGAGGAGGGAGGAAGCCCUGGAAAAUACCCCGGUCUGGGAAGAAUCUUCGUUUAUUUUUUGCCUAAACGGCCCCUUUGAUUUCUCCAGUUUUCCCCUACCCUUGCCCUGAGGGGGGGCGCUAUCACCAAUACCCCGAAAAAAAAAAACACAGAAAAAAUAAAAAGAAGUAUUUUUUCUGA
Conger conger (European conger) is the source of this 553-nucleotide long non-coding RNA. RefSeq lists it as uncharacterized. The record is from RefSeq and is a predicted model, not a curated record. Lineage: Eukaryota; Metazoa; Chordata; Actinopteri; Anguilliformes; Congridae. The transcript is spliced from 2 exons.